This 253-nucleotide ribosomal RNA is filed under the name uncultured bacterium. Its description in RNAcentral is "partial 16S ribosomal RNA". It matches the Rfam family "Bacterial small subunit ribosomal RNA", at positions 524 to 776 of the family's 1533-position model. The record is from RNAcentral.
UACGUAGGCAGCGAGCGUUGUUCGGAGUUACUGGGCGUAAAGGGUGUGUAGGCGGUUUUCUAAGUUUGGUGUGAAAUCUCCCGGCUCAACCGGGAGGGUGCGCCGAAAACUGGGAGACUAGAGUGCGGGAUGGGAGAGUAGAAUUCCUGGUGUAGCGGUGAAAUGCGUAGAUAUCAGGAGGAAUACCGGUGGUGUAGACGGCUCUCUGGACCGCCACUGACGCUGAGACACGAAAGCGUGGGUAGCAAACAGG